Molecule: long non-coding RNA, 691 nt
Organism: Trachemys scripta elegans
Lineage: Eukaryota; Metazoa; Chordata; Testudines; Emydidae
Exons: 3
Source: RefSeq, a predicted model, not a curated record
UGCACAAAAGAUUGCUGCUUGGAAUUCUCAGCUGCAAACCCUCUCUUGGUGCUAGAGGCCUACACUGUUAGCAAGAAUUGGGGAAGGAACAGGAGAUGCUCCCUCAUAACUUUUAGCCCAGUGGUUAGGAUAUGGGAGGAAUUUGGUCCAAGUCCCCACUCCUCCUGAAGGCAGGGAGGAGGAAAUGGAUUUGAACAGGGUUCUGCCACCUCUCAGCCUAAAAGAAGUCAAUGAAAAUUACCAAUGGCUGGAAGAGAGACACAAAGGGAUUUUGGACUGUCAAUGGAUUUGUGAGAUGAUGGUUAUAAGAAGAGGCAAAGCAAUCUGGACCAAUUAUAAACAUGAAGUUUGAUCAGAACUCAAACAAAACAUAAGACCAGAAAAAGUUUAGUUGAUAUUUCUGCUUAUCAUUCCAUUGGCGUACCUAUCUGUCCAUCUUAGAUAUUACUAGAGCAGUCACCAUAUUCUCUAAAUGCUAAAUGCACCUCUGCAUUUUCUGGCUCUAGCUGACAGCAGCAAUGCUAAAAUACCACAAAAAUACUAUUAUCAUUUCAUUCCCUGGCUAAUUUUGUAGAUCCAAGAAGGGUUCCGUUUAAACGUGGUUCAGACAUUUGACUGCUUCCCCUAACUAAAUUGUUGUACUGUCUUGAGUUCACCUACCAGUAAAAACUGAACACACUUCAGACACCUA